This is a long non-coding RNA of Anolis carolinensis (green anole), 3728 nucleotides long. RefSeq lists it as uncharacterized. The record is from RefSeq and is a predicted model, not a curated record. The transcript has 3 exons. Lineage: Eukaryota; Metazoa; Chordata; Lepidosauria; Squamata; Anolidae.
CCUGAUGAGAGGAACUUGCAUUUGUUCUGCAAGCUGAGAAGUAGUAGCUACUUCCAUGAGUACUGCUUCAAAGCCUGGCUGAACGGGCUGCUGGGCACUACUGGGCUCCAGCUCAAUUGCUGAGUCUUCCACCAGCAUCUCAUCCUCAUGUUUCCAAGCUAUCCACAACAUCACUCAAGAUUCAUAAACUCAUCUAAAUAUACUUGUUAUCUACUCCAGACACCAAAAGACCAUGCAUAUUCAUCUUCUAUUUGGCACCUCUGGAUGGUGUGCAUUGUGGCCACAAAUCAAGGAGGAAAGGAUGGAGCGUUUUGGAGGGAUGUCAUCUCCACCUCAGCGAAGUCCCCAGCUGGACUGUAGUGCAGUCCCAGUGCCUUGAGCUGCAAUGUAACAGCUGCUGAGCAAUUCUCCCACCGCACGCACCGCCUCAUCCACUCAUGCUCUGCUGGCUCUAUCUAUCCAGCUGUUUUCUAUUCUGUUUGCUCUUCUCCUCUCCACCUUCCCACCCACCCCUCAAGUGCUUCCUUUCCAUAGAAGAGAAAGAAGUAGAAACACCUAGCUGGAGAGGAGGCCUGAGGACUGUUGGAUGGCAAUUGCGCUGGGUCACAUCCAAGCAAUCAUGUGGUGCAGGUGUUGGUACGUCAGAAAUGAGCCUAAGAAGACCAGAGAGAAUUUCUGUUGAUUGAGUGAAUGUUUUAUACUGAAUCCUCCACUCUCUUGGGAGCUCUUCCAUUGAGUCAGCACAGCAAACUCAUCACCAAAAAGUCUGUAUGAGGAAGCCUGUAAUAGAGCACAGGGGAAGCAGGAACAGUUUCGAAACCUGGUGCUCAACAGGAUGAGGAGCCAGAUGCCCCGGGACUGCUUCUGAUAUUAUUCAAGCAGAAUAUGCAGCGUUUGGAACACACUCCUGCACCUGAUGAUUCUGGUACUUUCCAGCUGUUUAAUAAGAGUUCUGUAUAUUCCCACUCACCCCUGUACUUGCAGGUGGUUGAAUCAAAUUGUUGGCAGUGAACUGAUUUUCUAGGCCUCUCUGAACUUUGGAGUCCUGCUCUCUUUCAGUCCUUGCCCUUUGCUCUGAUGAUGCUGGGAGGAGGAAGUAGGCAAUCCUCUCUUGCCCCAGCCCUGUGCCCCGCUGCCUACCUUUCCACACUCAUCUCCCUGAUGGAAUGGCCUGUUCUCCUGCCAGCUCUCCCUUCUUGUGCUGGUGACUCAGCAGGUGCAUAAAAGAUUAAUGUUUCUUGUUCGUCGAUUCCGUCUAUCCUCCGGGGUCUCCCCGGUUAGGCCCAACAUUGCUCUGUUUAUGAGUUCUGACAGGAGAGCAGCCUGCAGUGGGUGAUUGAGGUCAGGUGACCUUUUGAGGUACAAGGUCAGAGGCGGUUUCUAGUCCAGCUUAUUUUCACUAUCCACUUACAUCCCCAAAUACACAUAUGCACAAAAAAUACCUGAGAAUAACCAGAGAUGCAUCAUACAGGUAAGCAAGGGCACUGCUCUGACCCUUGUUUCUUGUGGUUUCUGGCAUUUUGCAUGCAUCCUGGCUUGCUCCCUCCCACUGCAGUAUCAUUAUAGGGGUUUAUGGGGCUAUUAGCUUUAAAGUUUUAUAAAGCAGGUGACACGUUGAGAAUUAGACAACACACACAGGGAGGGAUCUUGCAGGAAAAGGAAGGGGGAUUGCCUUGCAGUUCAAAGAGUGAGUCUUCUGGUACCCACAGAAUUAAACCUGUGUCAUUCAGGACUGUCUGGGUGUAAGGGGUUUGUGCUGAGGCUCAUCUCCCAUGUAUGUGAUUGGUUUUGCUUUAAUACACAUAUAAACUGCUACAUUCAGAAUCAGAUGCAGGUUAUGGAGCUUUGUGUGUGCCAAAACGCUGAGGUACAUACAGCUGUACUACUUUAUUAUCAUGACUAAGAGUGCAUGCUUACUGUUUGCAAUUGUUUUCUCUGUGGUAGUGCAAUCUUGCUUUAAAAAUGUUUUUUCUUGCUUAUUUUCUGAAAUUGAUUUGGUUAAGGUUUUGUCAUGCAUUGGCAUUGCCCACCCACACAAGAAAGACCAUAUCCAAGCUGCGGUACUUACCUUCACAUUGACCUCUGUAGAUCCUAGGCCCAAAUUCCUCCAUAUCCCUUUUUUUUUUUUACUUUCUUUCACUAGUUUAGUUUCCCAAUAUUUGUUCAUAGAGUAUUUGCCUGGUUUUACCAUAAUGACCUACAAUUUGACUGAUUUUUUUUUCAAAACUGCAAAACGUUACAUGAUUGCAUACUUACACAUCUCAGAAACAGCUUUUUUCUUACUACUUUCAUAGGAUCAUAGAAAUGGAAGGAACUCCAAGGCAUUUAGCCUAAUUUCUGCCCUGUCAGAAUACAACACCAACAUACCACCCAGAAGAGGCCAUUUAAACUCUGUUUAAAAGUCUACAGUGAAUGAGAGUCAAUUACCUUAAAAGGUACAAGUUUACUUCAACUUAAUGGUGAUCUUAUGAAUGGGAAAUCUUUGAAUCACCCUGCCAUGAACAGCCCUGCUCAAACCUUUCAAACUCAGGGCAGCUGUGAAUUCUUUGAUUGAGUCUAUCCAAUCCAUCUGUAAUGUGGCCUUCCUAUUUUCCUGCUGCCUUCUACCAUCCUAGGUAUUAUUGUUAGUUCUUUAUAGGGCUUUUGCCACUCUAGUUUAUCCUCCUCUGGACAAUUUGCCAAUGUCUUAAACUGUGGUGCCCAGAAUUGGAUGCAUUAUUCCUGAUGAGGUUUGUCCAAAACAAACUAUAUUGGUGCUUUUGAUCUGGAAAUGAGAAUUACGCUAAUGCAGCCUAGAAUUGCAUUUGCUCCCCAUCCCCCACACAUACCUUUAUGGCUGCUGCAUCACACUGUUAACUGAUGUUAAACUUCUAAUCUACCAAGACCCCUACAUUCUUUUUACAUGUACUGCUGUCAAGCCAUGUGUCACCCAUCUUCUAUUUGUGCAUCUAAUUUUCCAGCUCAAAUGUAAUGCCUUGCAUUGAUUCUGUUGGAAUUCAUUUUGUUAAUUUUGGCCCAGCUCCCCCAUCUGUUACGGUUGUCAUGAAUACUGAAGUAUUAGCUCCCUCUUCCAGUUUGGUGUCAUCUGCAAACUUGAUGAGCAUGCCCUCUAUUCCAAGUCAUUUAUAAAACUGUUGAAUACAGCACCCUAGGAUACAACUCAGUGGCAUCCCACUUGUUUCUUAUCACUAAGACAAUGAGGAAUGGUCUGUAAACCACUUUCAAUUAUACUGAGCAGUACAUUGUGUCAGACAUAUUUUACCAGGUUGUCUUCAAGAAUAUCACACAAGAGCCUCUCAACAGCCGUACUGAUAUCAAGAUCAACCGCAUCAAGAGCAUCCCCCUGGUCUAUCAAGCUUGUAACCCUAUACAAAAAUUUGAUAGAAUUUGUCUGGUUUAUCUUUUUUGUGUGUGUUUUUUUUUAAGAACUCCAUGAUGGCUCAUUGUAAUCAAGAUAUUCUUUUCUAAGUGGUCACAUGUCACAUCAUAGAAACAGGUAUACUGAAAUUCUGGAUGUUAUUGAUAUAUAGUUGCAAUAAGGAGUAAAUAUAAAAAGAACUCUGUUAGUUUAGACCAGUGGUUCUCAACCUGUGGGCCGCAGACCAGCAGUGAUCCACGAGAAUGAAAAUCCGGUCCACGAACUCUCUAUUUAUUUUAUUUUAUUAAUUUUAUUUCUGCUCCUUUCCACAGAGCUGACCAUUUUAUUGGAUAGACCACAUCAGCUCUAG